AGGAAUGCCGCAUGGCCGGGGCCCGGGGCGGAGCGGUGGGACCAGGGCUCCCGGAGUCAGCUCCAGGGCAGGAAGUGGCCCGCUCCUCCUUUCAGAGAGUGUUUCCGGAGCGCCUACUGUGUGCUCCUCCAUGGGGGUGGGGGCACUACCAGGCACAAAGGGUGCCAGUCCCCGUACCUUUGAGCCUCUGGUGGGCAGUCACAAGCCCACGGAUUCCACCAGUGACCCCAGGCCUGCUCACAUGAGUGACGCGUUCCUCCCCAUGGCCAGCAGCAGAGCGGACUGAAUGCUGGGUGACAGGCUGGCCUCAGACUCCGGUGCUCAAGGAUAUUCUUGCUUCAGGUUCCCAAAUAGCACUGCACACUGCACACGUGAAUCCCCAUGCCUGAUGCCCGGCUGAAGGCUCUCGAAAUCGUGAGGAAAGAAACUGGGAGCAGUUGAAAGAAACCUACACCGCCAGCGACUUACAGGUUUCACAUCAGUUUGAAGUGGGAGACACAGCCCUGGUGAGGAGGCACCGAGCGGGGAACCUCGAGCCGCGUUGGAAAGGACCCUCCCUGGUACUAUUAACUACAGCCACCACCCUUAAAGUAGAAGGAAUCCCCUCUUGGGUUCAUGCCUCACAUGUUAAGAGGGCUCCCCCUGAGACUGAUCGUGAUGAGUGGACCCUGGAAAAGACUAAUAAUCCUCUUAAGUUGCGCUUGCGUCGCAAGAGCGACUCAGAACAGAGACAUCAACCCUCAUACUCCAACAAUCAUGGGAAGUGCUUAAUGAGGAGGGGGACACUGUAUGGUCGACCACCGCAGUACAACCCCCAUGGACCUGGUGGCCCGACCUCACACCUGAUAUUUGUAAGUUAGUAGCAGGGUCACUUACCUGGGACCUCCCCGACCAUACCGACCUUCAUAAACCACCACCUGAUAAACAGUGUGUCCCGAGCGGGAUAGGGAGCACGUUUGGAUGCUCAGGACAGUUCUACCGAGCCAAUCUUCGGUCUGCAGAAUUUUAUGUUUGCCCUGGCCAACCACGAAAGCUUCGGCAUCAGUGUGGAGGGGCACCGGACUUUUACUGUGCUGCAUGGGGUUGCGAGACCACAGGUGGAGCUUAUUGGAAUCCUACCUCUACCUGGGACCUGAUCACGGUAAAAAGGGGCAGUAGCUAUGACCAGCCAAACCAAGGUGAGAGAGAUAGUUCUAAAUACCUUGAGAGCGGGUGUUCCUGGUUCAACAGCCCUAAUGGACCUUGUAAAGAUAACUAUUGCAACCCCAUACGUAUAAAAUUUACUGACCAAGGGAAACGAGAACGCCAGAGCUGGCUUAAGGGAAACAAUUGGGGUUUGCGAUUGGACGAAGUAGGGAAAGACCCUGGAUUAGUUUUCAAAAUCAAAUUGACUGUGGAGAGUCCAUCCCCAGUGCCCAUAGGACCUAACAAGGCCCUCCCAGAACAGGACCUCCCUGCCAAACCCAAACCCCUGGCUCCAAUAAUUGAGAACCCCCUCAAGGUCGGCACCUCCCAAGAUUCCCCGACCACAAUCUCCUCAGAUCCCUCGACGGGACAGAGACUGUUCAACCUGAUUAGAGGGGCCUUUUAUGCCCUUAACAGCACUGAUCCAGAUGCUACAACUGACUGCUGGCUAUGCCUGUCCUCUGUCCCUCCCUAUUAUGAGGGGAUCGCCCUUAAUGGAGAGUUUAACACAACCACCAGUCAUGCUUCCUGCUCAUGGGGAACAGAAAAAAAAUUAACCCUGACUGAGGUGUCGGGAAAGAGCCCUGGUCUCUGCAUAGGGACACCCCCCCCUUCCCAUCAACACCUAUGUAACCGAACCCAUCCUGUAUCUAGGACAAGUACCAACCAUUACCUUGUACCAACACCAGUCGGCUGGUGGGCCUGUAACACGGGACUCACACCGUGUGUAUCAACUAAUGUGUUUGACUCCUCCAAAGAUUUUUGUGUCAUGGUUCAACUUUUACCCCGCAUAUAUUAUCAUACUGCCUCCAGCCUAGAAGACGAAUAUACCAAUAAGAGAAUUAAAAGAGAACCAGUUACCCUUACCCUGGCUACAUUGGUGAGGGUAGGUCUCACGGUGAGAGUAGGAACAGGGGUAUCAGCCUUAAUUGAGGGUAGACAAGGAAUCAAGUCCUUGAGAGAUUCUAUAAAUGAAGAUUUAAGCAUGCUAGAAAAGUCUAUCAAUACAUUAGAAAAAUCCUUGACCUCCCUGUCAGAAGUAGUAUUACAAAACAGAAGAGAUUUAGAUUUACUGUCUUUAAGGGAAGGUGGACUAUGUGCAGCUUUAAAAGAAGAAUGCUGCUUCUACGCAGACCACAUGGGGAUAGUCAGAGAUUCUAUGCAGAAAUUGAGAGAAAGGCUAGAAAAGAGAAAACGAGAUCGGGAAGCUCAACAGGGAUGGUUUGAGUCGUGGUUCUUUAAAUCUCCGUGGAUGACCACUUUAUUUUCUGCUUUGGCCGGGCCGCUUCUUAUUAUAUGUUUGGCAUUGAUCUUCGGCCCCUGCUUAAUAAAUCAGGGAAUUGCUUUCGUUAACAGUAGAGUGAAUGUAGUGCAGCUUAUGGUUCUCCAACACCAAUAUUAACCUAUAGUGAAGAUAGAAGAAGAAUAUGAUUCCUACCCCCCACAUGAGGAUACAGACCUUUAAAAUUCUAAGAUUAGAAUUAUUUAGUAGAAGAAGAGGGGAAUGAAAGAAAGAAAACCAAAUUCAAGGCCCCAGACAGGCCAGCACAAAGGCUGUUAAGUCAUUCCAGGAACUGACUUGCCAUAAAGAUAAGAGGCAUGCAAGAACAAUCUCUGGACAGGCCCAGUUGAGAUUGGGCCACCUGUUCUGGUCUCCUUCUGAUACGGUUUGAGUUUAACCAGAUGCUCUGCUGACAUAGAUAAGCACCCUCCCUCUAGAGUUGCUGUUGUCCCGACCCGCAAGUACCCGCUUGCUGAUGUUUAAACUGUCCAAUUGUGUGUAACCGCGCCAAUUUCCCCUACCCCUGACUUUUUUUCUAUAUAAACUCCUAACUUUUGAGCCUCAGGGUCGAUUCCUCUGUCUCCUGCAUGAGACAUGUGUUGGCCUGGAGCUCCGUCAUUAAACUCCCUCGUGUUUUUGCAUCAA
RNAcentral lists this long non-coding RNA (3112 nucleotides) under Mus musculus (house mouse). RNAcentral describes it as "RIKEN cDNA 5730471H19 gene". The record is from RNAcentral. Lineage: Eukaryota; Metazoa; Chordata; Mammalia; Rodentia; Muridae.